AUGCAGUCGCACGGACCUUUCGGGGUGAGUGGCGGACGGGUGAGUAUCGCGUAGGGUUCUAUCCAUGGGUGGGGGAUAACAUCGGGAAACUGGUGCUAAUACCGCAUGAUACCUGAGGGUCAAAGGCGCAAGUCGCCUGUGGAGGAGCCUGCGUUCGAUUAGCUUGUUGGUGGGGUAAAGGCCUACCAAGGCGAUGAUCGAUAGCUGGUCUGAGAGGAUGAUCAGCCACACUGGGACUGAGACACGGCCCAGACUCCUACGGGAGGCAGCAGUGGGGAAUAUUGGACAAUGGGCGAAAGCCUGAUCCAGCAAUGCCGCGUGUGUGAAGAAGGUCUUCGGAUUGUAAAGCACUUUCGACGGGGACGAUGAUGACGGUACCCGUAGAAGAAGCCCCGGCUAACUUCGUGCCAGCAGCCGCGGUAAUACGAAGGGGGCUAGCGUUGCUCGGAAUGACUGGGCGUAAAGGGCGCGUAGGCGGUUUACACAGUCAGAUGUGAAAUUCCAGGGCUUAACCUUGGGGCUGCAUUUGAUACGUGUAGACUAGAGUGUGAGAGAGGGUUGUGGAAUUCCCAGUGUAGAGGUGAAAUUCGUAGAUAUUGGGAAGAACACCGGUGGCGAAGGCGGCAACCUGGCUCAUUACUGACGCUGAGGCGCGAAAGCGUGGGGAGCAAACAGGAUUAGAUACCC
RNAcentral lists this ribosomal RNA (687 nucleotides) under Asaia sp. AR19. Its description in RNAcentral is "bacterial SSU rRNA". It matches the Rfam family "Bacterial small subunit ribosomal RNA", at positions 55 to 787 of the family's 1533-position model. The record is from RNAcentral. Lineage: Bacteria; Pseudomonadati; Pseudomonadota; Alphaproteobacteria; Acetobacterales; Acetobacteraceae.